This 1008-nucleotide unclassified non-coding RNA is filed under the name Hevea brasiliensis (rubber tree). Lineage: Eukaryota; Viridiplantae; Streptophyta; Magnoliopsida; Malpighiales; Euphorbiaceae. The record is from RNAcentral.
UCUUUAGUUGGUGCCAUCUUUAAUAAACUCUCCAGAAGCUCUGUUCCUAAUGCAUCUGAGUUGCCUUCCAAAAGGGACUCGCAUACUUCAUCAAUGGUCACGUUUAACGCCCUCAACAAUAUUGCAAUGUUCUGAGACUUCUUGGGAUCAAGCACACGAUUCUCCUGGUUCUGCAACAGAAGAGACUGUCGCCGCGCAUUAUUGUCUUUCACAUUCAGAUUUGAAUUGUUCACAGUAAACAGAGUCUCAAUCAUUUCCUCNNNNUUGAAAAGAACUGGAUUUAAUCUGAUCCCAAACCAUAACCCGAUCCGAGCUCGCUCUAACUUUAUCCCAAUGUAAAGGCUUCAAUUUGGGUUUCAGGGUCUCCUCACUCCUCUCAAAGCUUGCAGUGCUCUGCGAUUGCUCAUUAGCUAAAAUUGGUAUUCCACUCUGAAUAAAAACGGGCCUCGAAGGAGUAACAAGAACCGGAGGCCCAAAACUCCCCAUAUUCAUAUCCCGAGCCGGUCUUACCGCCACAGGAAUCUCCCAAAACCGCGGAGGAGGAGGAGGCGGUGGAGGAGGUGGCGGCAGUUUUGUAGGUGCAAAUUGCUUAGCAACACUUUCGACUCUCGUCGGGUAAAGGUUAUUCUCGCCAAGAAUACUUGAAUUUCGCUCCGGGGAGUUCUGGGUAUUACCUGAAUCUCUCCCUGAACAGGACGGGGAAGAAGACGAAGAAAUGGAUAAUGUUGAUCGCUUUACGGACUGAAUUGGAGCAGGGAAGCUGAUGAUAGUCUCCGGCGAUUUAGAUAUUGUGCUUAUAGGACUCAAAUUCGACACUGGAGAGGGACUAGUGGGUAUAGAAUUUGCUGGAGAACAAGAAUUCGAAUAUGGAUAUGAUGCAGUUCUGGAAUUAAAACUUCUAGACCCAAAAUUCUCUCCCUGGAUACCUUGAAGCUCUCUUCUAGAACUCGAUCCCACACGAACCGGACUUUCUUGAAUCGUCUCUUUUCGCCCAGAUGACCCUCUAGG